UCCCCGUUACCGGGGCAGUCUGAAUAGAAAAAUACAACUAUUCACAAGGGUUGCGCUCGUUGAUGGACUUAACCAAACAUCUCACGACACGAGCUGACGACGGCCAUGCAACACCUGUCACCUUGCUCAAUAAAGCACUCUCUGCUUUCGCAGUGAUUCAAGGGAUGUCAAGCCCUGGUAAGGUUCUUCGUUUAUCAUCGAAUUAAAGAACACGCUCCACCGCUUGUGCGGGUCCCCGUCAAUUCCUUUAUGUUUUAGUCUUGCGACCGUACUCCACAGGCGGGAUACUUAACGCGUUAGCUUCGCUACUGAAGGGGUCGAUACCUCCAACAGCUAGUAUCCAUAGUUUACGGCGUGGACUAC
RNAcentral lists this unclassified non-coding RNA (363 nucleotides) under uncultured bacterium. RNAcentral describes it as "contains 16S-23S intergenic spacer region". The record is from RNAcentral.